ACGAGUUUUACAGCGUGAGUUGUCGUGAACAUACAGAAACGGGCAACAUAAAAUCCCUCCUGGGAAGCUGUGGUAAAUCGCUUCACCUGGAAGGGGCAUGUAAAUCCCCGGUGACUGCAAUGUUGCCCUGAAAUCCUUGAGCGUGUGGAGAGAGGAGUCCAUACACUCACUGAAGAGCUUGGAUCCAUCAAGCACCUCUAUUGGCACACCAGAGGACUUGAGCCAGGACACGCUCAUGAUCACAACUGCGGCCAUGUAUCUGGAGGCCAUGUGUUGAUGGCAUCUAGGGCAGCUUGGAGGGAGCUUUUUGAGAUUAACUGCCCAUCCAAGAUGGACUGACAUUGCUCUCUUUGGACUUGUGGGAGGUAGUAAAUAAAAUGUGUAAAUUUUGA
Long non-coding RNA from Gopherus flavomarginatus (Mexican gopher tortoise), 392 nucleotides. RefSeq lists it as uncharacterized. The record is from RefSeq and is a predicted model, not a curated record. The transcript has 2 exons. NCBI's taxonomy places the organism in Eukaryota, Metazoa, Chordata, Testudines, Testudinidae.